Molecule: long non-coding RNA, 1202 nt
Organism: Puntigrus tetrazona (Sumatra barb)
Lineage: Eukaryota; Metazoa; Chordata; Actinopteri; Cypriniformes; Cyprinidae
Exons: 3
Source: RefSeq, a predicted model, not a curated record
ACCAUUGCUCAUUCCUGAUGUAAAAUAAUGGUGCUAAAAUGACCAAACAAGGCCUAGGUGGACUCUUUGGUAUCAUUACCAUUGUGGCCUUUAAUAACGCACUUUGCUGCAGUUCGCUUCAGCGGGUAUGCUUUUCUUAGUCACUUUUGAAUCAUAAAUAGCUACAUUUUGAGAACAGUUGCAGAUCCCUUUGGAUAUGCUGUGUUUAACACGUCCCAGCAUUUCUUAAGGCAGUUGUCCUGCUCGGGGCUUCUUACAUGCAUUCAUAACCUGACAUGUGAGUGAGUCAGACGAAUUAGAAACACCCAAAGAAUGUAAGAGCCAGAAAACUAUGUAUUCAAGCAAAACAACUAAGAUCGUCCCGAUAAGUCUCUAAGAGUGAUAGUGUUUGUCAAUGAGCACAUGCAUUUUUGUAAAACUGACUUGAUAAGGCAUCUUUGUGAGGCGUCUUCUGAUGUCCUAAAGCAGGAUUGAGGUCUAGCAUUGCACUUAGGGCAUUUGUUCACUCACAUACUACAUUCCUUAGCCAGCCUAACACUUCCACCCACGCGCAGCACAAAUAAAUUUCCGACUUCUUUGUUAAGGUGGAAUCCAGGUAAACGAUAGCAAAAUUGUAGCGCAUGGCACACUGCACACACACGCACAGCUGCAGGGUAAACUUGCAUUUCUACUUUAAUAAAGGCUGAAAAUGAUAACGUUUAGAAUUUUUUUUUUUUUAUAUAUUAGCUACGUAACAAGGGACACAUUUACAUCUGUAAAUACAUUUUAUUUAUUUUUAUUGUGACAACUGUAUUUUGACAAUUUCAUAAAAAAAAAAAAAAAAAAAGUUAAAACUAUUACAAAAAAAUGAAACCAGCAUCUGGACUUUUGACUAGUGAUUUGUAUCUGAAUGUCAUCGCUUAUCAAACAAGAAAGAAUGUAGACCACUGGGCCUAGCGGGAGCUGAGGUCUCGAUUUUACCACCUUUAUCCUGCCCACAAGGCUGUUUCCGAGACAACCCUGAAACCUAGAGCACGGGGUAGGAAGUCAGACUGAGGGUGGAGGUGUGGGGAAAAUAAUAUCAAGGGAGUCCUCCACACCAGCAGAGAUGCUGCUAGACUGAGAGAAAUAUGCACUGUCUUGAGACGGAGGAGACCCGGGAGAUUUCUCUGCAUCCUCAGUGCCCUCUACAGGAGAGGACGAGAGAGAAAGCCCUGAUCCUG